RNAcentral lists this ribosomal RNA (301 nucleotides) under uncultured bacterium. Its description in RNAcentral is "partial 16S ribosomal RNA". It matches the Rfam family "Bacterial small subunit ribosomal RNA", at positions 509 to 808 of the family's 1533-position model. The record is from RNAcentral.
CAGUCGCCACGGGAACACAGAGGAUGCAAGCGUUAUCCGGAAUGAUUGGGCGUAAAGUGUCUAUAGAUGGCUUUUCAAGUCCGCCGUCAAAUCCCAGGGCUCAACCGUGGACAGGCGGUGGAAACUACCAAGCUGGAGUACGGUAGGGGCAGAGGGAAUUUCCGAUGGAGCGGUGAAAUGCGUUGAGAUCGGCAAGAACACCAACGGCGAACGCACUCUGCUGGGCCGACACUGACACUGAGAGACGAAAGUUAGGGGAGAAAAUGGGAUUAGAUACCCCUGUAGUCCCUGUCUCUUAUAC